CUUUCUCUGAUCUAAUCCAUUAAGCACAGAAGAACUUCCAUCUGUCUUGAAUCCAUUCUGUCCAAUAGUGUCUGGGCAGUUUUCUGAUUUCUCUGAGACAAGUAUAGCAAGAGAAAACAUAAAAAUUCCCUCUAUCUUUGGAUCUGUUUCAGAGAAUGAAGUCACACAGUUUUCUCACUCCUCUACUAAAAGUUCACGAAGAGUUACUUUAGAAGCUCCUACUCAUGUUGCUGUCACAGAGAGAAAAUCUGUACAAGUACCUAAUGAAGCCAUACAGUUUUCUCACUCCUCUGGUAGAAGUUCACGAAGAGUUACUUUAGAAGCUCCUACUCAUGUCACUGUCACAGAGAACAAAUCUGUACAAGUAUCUAAUGAAGCUUUGCAGUUUUUUCACUCUCAUAAAGGUACACAAAGAGACACUUUAGAAGCUCCCUCUACUCAUGUCACUGUCACAGAGAACAAAUCUGUACAAGUAUCUAAUGAAGCCACACGGUUUUCUCACUCCUCUCGUAAAAGUUCACGAAGAGACACUUCAGAAGCUCCCUCUACUCAUGUUGCUGUCACAGUGAGAAAAUCUGUGCAAGUACCUAAUGAAGCCACACAGUUUUCUCACUCUGGUACAAGUUCACGAAGAGACACCUUAGAAGCUCCCUCUACUCAUAUUGCUGUCAUAGUAAGAAAAUCUCUACUACCUAAUGAAGCUGCGCAGUUUUCUCACUCUGGUACAACUUCACGAAGAGACACUUCAGAAGUUCCCUCUACUUGUGUCUCUGUCACAGAGGACAAAUCUGUACAAGUAUCUAAUGAAGCCACACAGUUUGAUCCCUCUACUCAUGUCACUGUCACAGAGAACAAAUCUGUACAAGUAUCUAAUGAAGCCACACAGUUUGAUCCCUCUACUCAUGUCACUGUCACAGAGGACAAAUCUGUACAAGUAUCUAAUGAAGCUUUGCAGUUUUUUCACUCUCAUAAAGGUUCACAAAGAGUCACUUUAGAAGAUCCCUCUACUCAUGUCACUGUCACAGAGAACAAAUCUGUGCAAGUACCUAAUGAAACCUCACAAUCUUGUCACUCCUCUCACAAAAGUUCACAAAGAGACACUUUAGAAGCUCCCUCUAUUCAUGUUGCUGUCACAGAGAACAAAUCUGCACAACCACCUAACCUCUCAGCUGCAGGCUUGUCAACAAUGCAGAUAAAAGAAGUCCUAUCUUUCUCAUCACUACUUUCCCAAGAGGAAUCCAUUCAAAAUCCCACAAACCUUGCUGUUAUUUCAGUCAAAAAGCUUACACAACUUCCUUUUUCUGAUCUAAAUCCAUUGAAUGUGAGUACAGAAGAACUUCCACCUGUCUUGAAUCCAUUUUGUCCAAUAGUAUCCAGGCAGUUUUCUGAUUUCUCUGAGACAAAUUUAACAAGAGAAACAAAAACUUCACAAAUUCCCCCCACUCGCCUCACUCUAAUGGUGAAUAAGUCAACACAACUUACUUCUUCCUUUAAUGUGUCUUCAUCAACUAUAUCCAGAGAAGAAAUUCAAUCUUUCCCAGGCCCUCUGAAAUCAAGGGAAAUCACCCAACAUCCCUCAAACACUGAAGUUAUGUUAGUCGAUGAAUUCACACAAUUUCCUUCUCUCUCUAACUUAAAUUCAUUGAACGAGAACACAAAUUUAUUGAGUGAGAAUACAGAACAACUUCCAUGUGUCUCACUUUCAACAAUAUCCAGGCAGUUUUCUGAUUUCUCUGAGACAAAUUUAGCAAGAGAAAACAUACAAUUUCCCUCUAUCCUUGAACACAUUCCUGUGAGAGAACGCACACCAUUUUCCGACUCCUUUGAUAAACAUUUACCAACAAAAACUUUACAAGUUUCCUCUACCCAUCUUGUGGACAAAUCAACACAACUUACCUCCAUGUCUGAUACAGAUUUAACAAAUGUAUCCCUUGAAGAAGUUUCAUCUUUUCCAGGUCCACAUUUACCUCAAGAAUCUGUACAGCUUCCCUCAAAUUUUGCUGCUGUUUCAGUCAACAAGGCCACCCAAUUCCCUUCCUCCUCUGACAUCAGUUCAUGA
This is a long non-coding RNA of Monodelphis domestica (gray short-tailed opossum), 2059 nucleotides long. NCBI's taxonomy places the organism in Eukaryota, Metazoa, Chordata, Mammalia, Didelphimorphia, Didelphidae. The record is from Ensembl.